RNAcentral lists this long non-coding RNA (411 nucleotides) under Bos taurus (domestic cattle). Its description in RNAcentral is "long non-coding RNA NONBTAT007373". Lineage: Eukaryota; Metazoa; Chordata; Mammalia; Artiodactyla; Bovidae. The record is from RNAcentral.
UAUCUUAGAAAAAUGAUUAAAAAGAGACUAGAGAGCCUGAUGGAGUGAUUGUUAUCUAAACUCAGUAAUUAAAGGUUGAAUUCUAAGGGGACUUACUCUGUAUCCUUAGGCAAGUAAUAUUCAGUAUUGUACCAUAAUCCAUUUGAGAAAAAUAUAUUGUCUAGCUGAUCGAAUAUUUCCAGGAUAUAUCUACUAUCCUGUUCAGUGCUCAGGAUAGCUUUGUUGAUGCCAAUUUUACUCUAAGUAGCUGUGCAGUAUGAAUGAGAGAAUGGAGAUCUCCUAUAAUGAGUAUUGUUAAAUGUUUAGAUGGAAAGUUCUAUUUGGAGAUUAAGGGACUUUGUUGUAUCUCUGAAUUUAUAUUGCCUCUAGUGUUUUUUAAUUACAACUUUUAACACACCCAGUGUUCUGGCA